ACCUGGCUGGCUCAGUGGGUAAAGCAUGUGACUCUUGAUCUCGGGGUCAUGAGUUCGAGCCCCAUGUUGGGUG
RNAcentral lists this transfer RNA (73 nucleotides) under Felis catus (domestic cat). It matches the Rfam family "tRNA". Rfam says of the family: Transfer RNA (tRNA) molecules are approximately 80 nucleotides in length. Their secondary structure includes four short double-helical elements and three loops (D, anti-codon, and T loops). The record is from Rfam by way of RNAcentral. RNAcentral also lists the same sequence under 3 other names. Lineage: Eukaryota; Metazoa; Chordata; Mammalia; Carnivora; Felidae.